This 305-nucleotide ribosomal RNA is filed under the name uncultured bacterium. RNAcentral's name for it is "bacterial SSU rRNA". It matches the Rfam family "Bacterial small subunit ribosomal RNA", at positions 337 to 657 of the family's 1533-position model. The record is from RNAcentral.
CCCUACGGGAGGCAGCAGUGGGGAAUAUUGGGCAAUGGGCGCAAGCCUGACCCAGCGACGCCGCGUGAGGGAAGACGGUUUUCGGAUUGUAAACCUCUGUCGAGGGGGACUAAGGAAGUGACGGUACCCCUUGAGGAAGCCACGGCUAACUACGUGCCAGCAGCCGCGGUAAUACGUAGGUGGCAAGCGUUGUCCGGAAUUACUGGGUGUAAAGGGAGCGUAGGCGGGAAUGCAAGUUGAAUGUAUAAACGGUCGGCUCAACCGGCCGAAGCGUUCAAAACUGCAGUUCUUGAGGGGGGUAGAGG